GUUCCUAAUUUCACGGCAAAAAUGGAGGGAGAAACUUACAUAAUUACCCUUAUAGUCUCUGUAUCUGAAGUUGUUUUAGGUAGGGGGUAUUUAUUUAAUUUUAUCCCUUCCUGACUCUCUAGCUGUAGGACCCCUGUGGCUAUAAUAAUGGUCUUCAUGAGGUUAGCGUGAAACUGAUGGUAGUCACACUGAAUGUGUGUAAAGAAAGAAGGUGAACUUUGCCAAUCUUUUUUGGUACACAAAUUGAUAGUUGCACAUAUGCACUACGACUUUUUACUGUGAUUUUCAUAUGAAUGUGUUGCCUUGGUCAGCAUUAUCUUUUACCUUUAUUGCUGCAUAUGUGAUGAUAAGAGGUUGUUGGCUUGCCCUGCAUGAUAUCAUUUAUUUCUACACGGAGAAGUCACAUUGGAUUCUCGUCUCAUCAGCUUGAGAUAUUUUCCGGUAUAUUACAGGUUUUGUGGGUCAGGGAGCAU
This 473-nucleotide unclassified non-coding RNA is filed under the name Hevea brasiliensis (rubber tree). The record is from RNAcentral. Lineage: Eukaryota; Viridiplantae; Streptophyta; Magnoliopsida; Malpighiales; Euphorbiaceae.